AAUGCAAUGUAACCACAAUCUCAUGUCUCUUUGUAUCCUCUCUCUAAAUUUCAAGAAUUUCUAAAACAGAGCAUCCGGUUCCUCUUAAAUCCUUGGCUCUUCCUUAGUGAUAGCCCUUCCUAAUCUCUCUUCUCCUGCUCCCAAGCACCAGUUUUUAGCUCUGGUUUUCUGUAACAUCAUGGAUUGUUGGUAUUCUUCUCUUGACGUCGAUAAUGAAUUUGAGAAGCUUGUCUUUCGAAUGAACCCUCCAAGGGUCACUGUUGAUAAUGCUUCAAGCUCCAAAGCAACUUUGAUUAAGAGCAAAUAAGCAUUGGAGCUUGUUAGAGUUUGUGCAGGCUCUGGCUGAUUUGCGUUUGACCAUCAACGGGGCUUACACAUUUCUUCAGACGGGGAAUGGUACAUGGAUCGUGAGCUUCCUUUUUUAUUUUUCUUCUUCCCUCCUUUCUCUGUUGCAAACCAUUCUCCCUUUUUUUCUACUCUUUCUACUCCGUUUUCAUUUGAUUUGUAAUAUAUUCUCGUAUCGAUGGUGAUGUUAUUAACCGCAUUGAACAGGUAGAUCCCUGAAACACAAAGAUCCGGGUAGUUAGGAAAUUCCAUUUUUAUUUUUCCUACCAAAAAAUUAUUAAUAGCUCAGUGCCCUCUAAUACUGAGCUAUUCAUCCUCCUCUCAUCCCAUGGAUGCCCUUGUUUCAAGUAAUCCUUAUUUACUGGAUAAAAAGUGGAAAGCUUGUUCAUGGGUAAAGAAGAGGAAGAAAGGUAAUUAUGUCUGUAA
Long non-coding RNA from Macadamia integrifolia, 771 nucleotides. RefSeq lists it as uncharacterized. The record is from RefSeq and is a predicted model, not a curated record. NCBI's taxonomy places the organism in Eukaryota, Viridiplantae, Streptophyta, Magnoliopsida, Proteales, Proteaceae. The transcript has 3 exons.